CCAAUAGCGUAUAUUAAAGUUGUUGCAGUUAAAAAGCUCGUAGUUGAAUUUCGGGAUCAAUCUAUCGGUCGUGCAAUAGUACGUACUGGUUUUAUUGAUUCCUCCCUUCUGAUGAACUAUGAUGUCAUUAAUUUGGUGUCAUAGGGAAUCAGGACUGUUACUUUGAAAAAAUUAGAGUGUUUAAAGCAGGCUCACGCUUGAAUACAUUAGCAUGGAAUAACGAAAUAGGACGUUUGAUUCUAUUUUGUUGGUUUCUAGGAUCGACGUAAUGAUUAAUAGGGAUAGUUGGGGGCAUUAGUAUUCAAUUGUCAGAGGUGAAAUUCUUGGAUUUAUUGAAGACUAACUACUGCGAAAGCAUUUGCCAAGGAUGUUUUCAUUAAUCAAGAACGAAAGUUAGGGGAUCGAAGACGAUCAGAUACCGUCGUAGUCUUAACCAUAAACUAUGCCGACUAGGGAUCGGAUGAUGUUAAUUUUUUAAUGACUCAUUCGGCGCCUUACG
RNAcentral lists this ribosomal RNA (499 nucleotides) under uncultured Glomeromycotina. RNAcentral's name for it is "partial small subunit ribosomal RNA". It matches the Rfam family "Eukaryotic small subunit ribosomal RNA", at positions 591 to 1092 of the family's 1831-position model. Lineage: Eukaryota; Fungi; Glomeromycota. The record is from RNAcentral.